UUUUUAUACCGAGGCGUGGAGAGAAAGGCUCGACGAAACGCCGGCAACCCCCAGCAACCCUGGAACGGUGCCAACCGAGGUCAGCGCAAGUAACUGCUGACCAUAUAAAAA
Molecule: non-coding RNA, 111 nt
Filed under: Hymenobacter roseosalivarius
Lineage: Bacteria; Pseudomonadati; Bacteroidota; Cytophagia; Cytophagales; Hymenobacteraceae
Also listed under: 1 other name
Description: SAM-I sequence
Rfam family: SAM riboswitch aptamer (S box leader)
About the family: The SAM riboswitch is found upstream of a number of genes which code for proteins involved in methionine or cysteine biosynthesis in Gram-positive bacteria. The SAM riboswitch acts at the level of transcription termination control. The predicted structure consists of a complex stem-loop region followed by a single stem loop terminator region.
Source: RNAcentral